AUGGCCAGAGGGCACUGCUCUCCUGAUACCCCAUCUGGAGCGAUGCAUCCAGCUCUGGUGUCCCCAGCAUAAGAAGGAUGGAGGCCUGCUGAAGUGAGCCCAAAGGAGGCCACAAAGGUGAUCAGAGGGCUGCAGCACCUCUGCUGUGAAGACAGGACAGGUUGACAGAGUGAGGGUUGUUCUGCCUGGAUACAAGCAAGGUCCAGGGAGACCACAGAGUGUCUUCCUAAAGGAGCAGCACCUAAAGGAGACCUAAAAGCGAGCUGGAGAGGAACUUUUCACAAUGAAAAAGAACUCAGACUGACAGUUUGAGGAAGACAGAGACAGUUGCAAUGACAGCCUGGAAAGGAAGAAAAAUGAACAUUAACCAUAAGAUCAGAGGAACUGACUGUAGCCUUUUAAAAACAAAUGCAGAAGGUGCCUGUUGCAUUCCACAUUCAUUCAGCAAUAUGCAAUCCACAACAUGUAAGCUUUCA
Long non-coding RNA from Passer domesticus (house sparrow), 476 nucleotides. RefSeq lists it as uncharacterized. NCBI's taxonomy places the organism in Eukaryota, Metazoa, Chordata, Aves, Passeriformes, Passeridae. The record is from RefSeq and is a predicted model, not a curated record. The transcript is spliced from 3 exons.